This is an RNA transcript of Juglans regia (Persian walnut), 3389 nucleotides long. It is a transcript of the gene named FRIGIDA-like protein 5, with no coding region annotated. The transcript is spliced from 5 exons. NCBI's taxonomy places the organism in Eukaryota, Viridiplantae, Streptophyta, Magnoliopsida, Fagales, Juglandaceae. The record is from RefSeq and is a predicted model, not a curated record.
UUCUUGGGGAAGAAGUUUUCUCUUUAAAUGGAGAAAAUCUCGUCGGAUUUGAAGCUCUCUGAGUUGAAACAGAACGGUCUGAACAGAGCCUAUGAAAACAUGAAUGCCCAAUGGAGAGAUUUGGAGGAACACUUCGACUUAACUCGGAAAUCCAUCGAAUCCCAGUUUGAAGAGCUUGAACGGCGUGCAAAAGAGGGGGGUUUGAAGGAGCAGCAGUUGGAUACAAUGCAGGAACAUCUGAGAGAGUGUGAGAGAGAGCUUGCUGCAAAGGAGAGCAAACUGGGUUCGGUGGUAGAGAAGCUUCGGUUGAAAGAGGAGCACCUGGAUUCAACACGAAAGUCAGUGGAGGAGUGCUCCGGUGACCUUGAGUUUAAAAAACAGGAAUUGCGGUCUAUGCAAAUAUCAGUGGCGAAGUGCUUUUCAGAGAUUGAGUCUAAAAAGAAUCAACUGGGGUCAUUGGAGCAGUCGUUAGUGCAAUGUUCCAAGAAACUGAGAUGGAAAGAGCAGCGGCUGGAGGUGGUUGAGAAGUCGAUUCAUAAAUGUUUUGAUGAAGUUAUACUGAAGGGGAAGGAACUUGAGUCCGCAGAAAAAAGAUUAGAAGAUUGUCUUGGGAAGCUUGAACUGAAAGAGAAGGAACUAUGUGAGGUUCAAAAGUUGAUUAGAGAGCGAUGUGUCGAGCUCGAGUUGAAGGAGAGGCAGAUUGACAGUAUCAAAAUAUUGAUUCAAGAAAACAGUGAAGAGCUUGAGUUGAAGGUAAAGCAAUGUGGUGAAACAGAAAAGUCAAUCAAGGAUCAGAAAAUGGAACUUAAACUUAAAGAGAAGAAAGUUGAAUCUGUUGAUAAAUCCAUCAAAGAGCAGUUGGAAGAAGUUAAAUCAAGAGAAAAGAUAAUGGAUUUGAGAGAAAGAAAAAUUAAAGACUUAACUGAUGAAGUUGAGUCUGAGGGAAAGAAACUUGAUUCAAUCCAAGAAGUGUACAAAAGAUAUUGUGACGAUGUUGAAUUGAAAGAGAGAGAAUAUAAUGCAAUUGGAAGGUCCAUUGAAGAACGCAAGCAGGAGCUUGAAUUGAAAGAAAAUCAACUAAAAUCGACCCAAAAUUUUAUUGAAGAGUCUGACAAGAAGCUCAAAUCAAAAGAGGAAAUGCUUGAUUUAAUCCAAAAAAAAAUUGUGGAAUGCUCUAGGGAAAAAGAAUUGAAGGAGAAGCAGCUUGAUUUCCUAGAAGAAUCUAUCAAAAAGUGCACUGAUAGUCUUGUAUCAAAGGAGAAGCAACUCAAUUAUGUACAAGACAUAGCAAAAGAACGCCUCAAAGAACUGGAAUUUGAAGAGAAAAAUCUUGUCUCAUUCAAGAACUCCAUAGAAGAGUGUUCACAUGAUCUUGAAAUGAGAGAAAGGCAGUUCGAAAAACGAGCUAGGGAGCUUGACUUAAAAGAGAAACAACUCAAUACAUUACAAAAUCCAAUCAAUGAGGCUAUAAAAGAGAAGGAAUUGAAGGGGAAGAAGUGUAACUUUCCUUCACAAUUGAAGACUGAACAGCUUGAAUACACCAUUGCCAACAAUGCUACUGUUCAUUACCCUGCACCUUUCAGACCCUGUGCCCAUGGACGAAGUUUGCAAUUGUUAAUGAAUGAGAGUUUGCAUAGGCACGAGCUAGUGUGUGGUCAGGUCUCUACAAUUCUUCAAACAUCAUCGAACCCUUCGAAGUUGGUGCUAGAUGCAAUGCAUGGGUUUUAUCCUCCACAUUCAAGGGAGGGAUUUAUGGAGUUUGAUGUGAAUAUUAUUAGGAGGAGUUGCAUUCUUUUGUUAGAGCAGUUAAUGAAGGCCUCACCUGUGGUUAACCCUCAAGUGAGGGAAGCAGCAAUGAAGUUGGCAGUUGAAUGGAAGCAAAAGAUGAGAAUGGCCCAUGAUAAUUGUUUCGAGGUUUUGGGUUUUCUGCAGCUUUUGGCUGCAUACAGAUUGAGCUCUUGUUUUAAUGGAUAUGAGCUCCAGAGUCUUCUUGAUAUGGUUGAUCAGCAUGCACAGGCGCUUGAAUUACGGCAAACCCUUGGUAUUGCAUGUAAAACACCUGUGACUAGCAUCCUUCAUUCCCGAGAGCGACCUGAAUAUUUGCCCCCAGAAAAUGCAGCCAAUUCUUCUUUUGCAGAUCUUCAACUAACUGCCACUACAUACAAGAAUUUUCAGUUGCUCUUGAAUGAGCAAUGGAACAGUCCUGAUGAAAUGUGCGAUGCAAUUUUUCAUUCUCUUCAAAUGUCAUUGGACCCGGCAAAGCUUGUUUUGGAUGUGAUUCAGGGGUCUUUCCCUCGUAUUUGGGAGAAGAGAGAGACUGGUUUUCAAGCAAGUUCCAUGAAUGGUUACUUUUUUAUGCUAGAGCAGCUAAUGAGAAUGUCACCACAGAUUGAUCCACAAGUUAAAGAAGAAGCAAUUAAGCUGGCGGUUGACUGGAAAGAAAGAUUGAUUGUCAAUACUAGGAAUUCUUUGGAGGUUUUGGCUUUUCUGCAGCUGUUAGCAUCUUAUGGUUUGGCAUCUUCAUUUGAUGGAUAUGAGAUUUUAAAGCUUUUUGAAGUUGUUACACAAUAUAAACAGGCUGUAGAAUUAUGUCAGACCCUUGGUUUUGCAGAUGAGAUUCCUGAUUUUAUUGAGAAAUUGAUUGAGAGGAAGCUGUAUAUUAAGGCUGUUAGAUUUGUGUGUGCCUUCAAGUUGGUUGACAACUUUCCACCAGUACUUUUGCUGAAAGAAUACCUGGAGAAUGCAAGGAGGUCUGCCCAGAAAUUAUGCCAGAAAAAGAAAUCAUUUCAAGCAAAGGAUGAGGCCACAGAUGGUGAAAUAGAUGCUCUAAGAACCGCAAUGGAAUGCAUUAUCGAUUUCAACCUUGAAUCCGAGUUCCCACCCAAGGACAUUGAAAAACGCAUUGUUGAGCUUGAGAAGCUGAGGGCAGAAAGGAGAAGUUCUGUACCAGGCCCCAAGAAGCAAGUGUGGCACCAGAAUAAAAAUAAACGUCUUCGAACUGAGGUAUCCACUGUUGAACCCUUUGACAUUCCAGUUUUCACUCCGUCUGGGCAGUAUGAAACAAGUUAUCUUUAUAGUGGAGGACCUCGGCAGUUUGCCUCCUCAGGCAACAGCUCCAGAAAUAAUUUGCGUACUAGGCAGGGUUUUGCUGGAAAUCAUUACUUGUAUCAUUCCUGACCUAAACUCAGCCUUAAUUAUGACAGGCCAAUGUCUGAUGUUGUAAUUAUUACAGGCCAGUGUACAGUGAUUGCCAGCACUAUCAUACUCUCAAAUUUCUCAUACAAAGAGCCUAGACAUGAAUGCAUGGGUGCUGGAGUUGAGGGCCACCAAGAUAUUAUGAGUUAUGACCAAAUCUACAACCACAACUACUUGUUGGAAUGAAAGGUCAC